RNAcentral lists this unclassified non-coding RNA (1750 nucleotides) under Hevea brasiliensis (rubber tree). Lineage: Eukaryota; Viridiplantae; Streptophyta; Magnoliopsida; Malpighiales; Euphorbiaceae. The record is from RNAcentral.
GUCAAACAAAUUAAGCCUUAAUUUAAUUGGAAUUAAAUUGAUAAUUACGAGUAAUUUUAUGAUGAAAUCGUUAUUCAAUUUGUGCAGAGGAAUGUAUUGUCCACUUCUUACGAGGAAAAUGGGAGAUCCAGGCCUCCAGGAUUAAAUUUGAUGAAAGAGCACCACUGAGCUAUUGCUACAUCAGGCUGCAAUGAAAAGGCAUUUUAUCAGCAAUCCGGACAAUUAUGCUACCUUCUUCACCCAAUCUUUGUUAGCCUGAAAUCUAGACUCAAACAACUAGUAAAAGACCAUGAAAACGCAACACCAUGAAAAAUUAUUUCCCAUCAGAUGUAUCUGAGAAAUAAUUUUUCUUAGAUAUUUGCCUCAUAAAGUGCAUACACAUGUUCAAACCAUAGGACCAAACUGAGAAUUAAAACUAGGGCUAGGGUUGACCACAGGCUAGUUCUGGUUUUCAGCCCAAUUGAAUCUGAAUUGGACCGAAAGGUGCCAGUUCCCCAUGAUUCUGAUUUGGUUCUGGUUCAAUACGGAUUGACGCAAUCCAAUGAUUGAAAUAAUUUUUGAAACUUUUUUCUUUAAAUUCACAGAUUGAACAAGAUUGGACUGCUGAACUGAAUUAACCGGUUCCGAUCCAGUCCAGUUUUAGGGGAGGAUCAGGAACGCUCCCUGUCUGGGUAGGAUCCAGAAACCAUUGAUUGGUCCCAGUCCCAGGUUUGAUCGAGCCAAUUUCGGGCUAAACCAAGCAACAGCUCUGCCAACGACGUAUUGGAUCAGGAGAAUUUUAGAACUUAAAACAAUGUCAUCAAAAUCUGGGUAAACAUUUCCACAAUUUUAUAAAGCCAGAAUAUGUUAUGCAUUGCAAGCAAUUUAAGGAAAUAAAGUCAUGUAUUUAGGAAAGCACAUCAUACAAAUGAGGCAUAGCAUCUGAUUUAAUAGUGAUGCACUUCUUAAAAUUUUGUGUACGUCUAGGUGAAAUGUAAAUGAAUGGCUAAUUUAACCUCAGCAUUUACAGGUGUUCAUGCAACACAAAUCAAGAUUGCCUUGUGAUAAAUGAUGCAGUAAAAGCUGAAACAGAACUUGAUGGGUAGUCCAUGCUUGUUAGUUUACUACUCAGAAAUCUGAAUCCUUUCCAUUUAAAGCUUAUGUGGCAGUAGUUUACAUUUUAGAUUACAUUCUAGGCCAACUAGCUUUAUGAGAAGCAUCAAGAAAUGAACUAUGUGAAAUAGGCUCGAUGCAAGAAACAAAUCUACCCCAAUGCAAGAACAUAAUUUGAAGCCCAAAGUUAAAAAGAAAGAGUGUUGCCACGUUUAUGAUCCUGUUUUAUUGCCUUCAAUAGUUAAAAUAAAUCCAAUACAUAACAUGAACUGGGCUCAAACCUAAUAAAAUGAUGUGAUUUUUAACUUUUGGUGUCACUCUUUUCCUUGUAAUGCCCUCAAAUCAGAAUGGUUCAACCUUAUAGUAUGUAUUUUAUUCUAUAGCAGGGAUUGUCUGUUCGUACACCCAGUGAUAAUUUAAGAAUGAUGUAUGAAAAAGUACUUACAGUUGAAAAGCUUAAAUGCAUAUGAGAAUCCAAUGUUAACAGAGAAGAAGCCAAUGAUCUUCCUAGCAUACUUGUAGUGCCAAAAAAUAAUUAAAAAAAGAAAGAGACUAAGGCUCUAUUUGUUUAACGGAAAACAUUUUCCUGGAAAAUAUUUUUUAUACUUUCGAGUGUUUGGGGCACUUAGGAAAAAACUAAAUCAUUUUAUGAACUUUA